AGGUAGUAACUUUAAACCUAUUUAUUAUGACGGCAUAUUUCAUUAGAGGAACUCGUCACCUAAUUCGACAACCCUCGUUAAUUUUUACUUUAUAUAAAAAUCUAUAUACCGCCAUCUUAAGAAAAUUCCUCAAAUUUUUUUCUAAAAAAUAACUAAAAAGUUAGGUCAAGGUGUAAUCAAUUAUAAAGCGAUGAUAAGUUACAUUAAAUAAAAUUUAAGAAAUUCAGAUUCAAAAAUCCUAAGAAAAAGAAUUUAACAGUACAUUAUUAUUAAUAAUAAUAAUCGAACAUAUCAAAAUGUGU
Molecule: ribosomal RNA, 302 nt
Filed under: Tengella radiata
Lineage: Eukaryota; Metazoa; Arthropoda; Arachnida; Araneae; Zoropsidae
Description: partial 12S ribosomal RNA
Source: RNAcentral